UGUCUCAAGAGAUCUACAGAGUUGGUGU
This 28-nucleotide small RNA is filed under the name Bombyx mori (domestic silkworm). RNAcentral describes it as "ovarian small RNA-9056". Lineage: Eukaryota; Metazoa; Arthropoda; Insecta; Lepidoptera; Bombycidae. The record is from RNAcentral.